GUGGGGAAUCUUCCGCAAUGGACGAAAGUCUGACGGAGCAACGCCGCGUGAGUGAUGAAGGUCUUCGGAUUGUAAAGCUCUGUUAAUCGGGACGAAAGAGCCUAGUGUGAAUAAUGCUAGGAAGUGACGGUACCGGAAUAGAAAGCCACGGCUAACUACGUGCCAGCAGCCGCGGUAAUACGUAGGUGGCAAGCGUUGUCCGGAAUUAUUGGGCGUAAAGCGCGCGCAGGCGGAUCUGCCAGUCUGUCUUAAAAGUUCGGGGCUUAACCCCGUGAUGGGAUGGAAACUACAGAUCUAGAGUAUCGGAGAGGAAAGUGGAAUUCCUAGUGUAGCGGUGAAAUGCGUAGAUAUUAGGAAGAACACCAGUGGCGAAGGCGACUUUCUGGACGAAAACUGACGCUGAGGCGCGAAAGCCAGGGGAGCGAACGGGAUUAGAUACCCGAGUAGUCC
This 450-nucleotide ribosomal RNA is filed under the name uncultured bacterium. RNAcentral describes it as "partial 16S ribosomal RNA". It matches the Rfam family "Bacterial small subunit ribosomal RNA", at positions 354 to 796 of the family's 1533-position model. The record is from RNAcentral.